GAGGUAAUGGCUCACCAAGGCUUCGACGGGUAGCCGGCCUGAGAGGGCGACCGGCCACACUGGGACUGAGAUACGGCCCAGACUCCUACGGGAGGCAGCAGUGGGGAAUAUUGCACAAUGGGCGAAAGCCUGAUGCAGCAACGCCGCGUGCGGGAUGACGGCCUUCGGGUUGUAAACCGCUUUCACCCAUGACGAAGCGAAAGUGACGGUAGUGGGAGAAGAAGCACCGGCCAACUACGUGCCAGCAGCCGCGGUGAUACGUAGGGUGCGAGCGUUGUCCGGAAUUAUUGGGCGUAAAGGGCUUGUAGGCGGUCUGUCGCGUCGGAAGUGAAAACUCGAAGCUUAACUUCGAGCCUGCUUCCGAUACGGGCAGACUAGAGGGAUGCAGGGGAGAACGGAAUUCCUGGUGGAGCGGUGGAAUGCGCAGAUAUCAGGAGGAACACCGGUGGCGAAGGCGGUUCUCUGGGCAUUACCUGACGCUGAGAAGCGAAAGCGUGGGGAGCAAACAGGCUUAGAUACCCUGGUAGUCCACGCCGUAAACGGUGGGCACUAGGUGUGGGGGACAUUCCACGUUCUCCGUGCCGAAGCUAACGCAUUAAGUGCCCCGCCUGGGGAGUACGGCCGCAAGGCUAAAACUCAAAGGAAUUGACGGGGGCCCGCACAAGCGGCGGAGCAUGCGGAUUAAUUCGAUGCAACGCGAAGAACCUUACCUGGGUUUGACAUAUGCCGGAAAGCUGCAGAGAUGUAGCCCCCGCAAGGUCGGUAUACAGGUGGUGCAUGGCUGUCGUCAGCUCGUGUCGUGAGAUGUUGGGUUAAGUCCCGCAACGAGCGCAACCCUCGUUCUAUGUUGCCAGCACGUAAUGGUGGGGACUCAUAGGAGACUGCCGGGGUCAACUCGGAGGAAGGUGGGGAUGACGUCAAGUCAUCAUGCCCCUUAUGUCCAGGGCUUCACGCAUGCUACAAUGGCCGGUACAAAGGGCUGCGAGACCGUAAGGUUGAGCGAAUCCCAAAAAGCCGGUCUCAGUUCGGAUUGGGGUCUGCAACUCGACCCCAUGAAGUCGGAGUCGCUAGUAAUCGCAGAUCAGCAACGCUGCGGUGAAUACGUUCCCGG
Molecule: ribosomal RNA, 1111 nt
Filed under: Microlunatus sp. H7
Lineage: Bacteria; Bacillati; Actinomycetota; Actinomycetes; Propionibacteriales; Propionibacteriaceae
Description: bacterial SSU rRNA
Rfam family: Bacterial small subunit ribosomal RNA
Source: RNAcentral